UUUAAGUGUAUUAAAUUUGACAUACUUAGAGUGACAAUUCAAUAUACUUAUGGGAAGUAUAUUUUUUGGAAAUUAUUUGUUAAUUUACUUUUUUAGCAUACUAGGAUCUCACUUCAUUAGAAGUGUGACUUCUGUACACUUUAUACAGUACACUAUAAAAUAAGUGUAUUUUUAGUUGCAUAUCAGAGUACUUUCAUAAAAUACGUUAGAAUAAUAAAAUGUAGGCUAUACACUGCAUGAAAAGAGCUGUAUCCAGACAAAUACGGAUGGGAAAUCCCUGCUAAACUUUAGGUUUGCCAGAUAAAUGAGGCAGAGUGCUUGGAAACGUAAUACUCAGAAGUAAACUCGUGAAACAUCCAGAAACCUUGUGUAUAUGGAUGUAUACUGGUGGAAGUUUCUAGGAAUCCUCACAGCUGGUUGUAAGGAGUGCUGGUUGUGAGGUGUGAAGGGUUAAUGACAGAGUUGCUGUCUCUGUUUUCAAAGCUGGGUGGGGGGUUCAAGGCAGCACAUAACAUAAAAACAUUAUAUAUCUACAAGUGUGUUUACUAAAUACAUGUAUUAUUAUGCUAAUGUAAUUUAAUUGAUAAAGGUUUUUUUAUUUAAGAAAAUCUGAGCAUCACUCAAAAUAACUGUCAACAUGUUUGUCAACUAAACAUGUUUUGUAAACGUUAUACAUUUUAUAAAAAUAUUUAAUAUUUUUAUUAUUGAUAAAGUAUAAAGAACAAAUCAGUGUGAAAACGCAGAUUAUAAAAAGUACAUAAAGUGCCAGCAGAGGAUCCAAAAUAAUGAAAAAAAAAAAAAACAUCCAAUGCAACUUGGAAAUUGUAGUCAAAAUACAUCUACAGCAGCAUGCUAAAGCAGUACCAACGCCAGGGCAAAAGACUCAAAUUCCCAGAAUGCACCUGCACCCACCCAUUCAUUCCCACCAAUCAGGAUCAACGGCAUUUUUCAAACCGCUACUGACUCGUUUUCAUGCUAAACAGUACGGCUGAGGUAAGUUUGACUUUCAUUCCUUUACAUCGCGCAGAUCUGUUCCAUAUUUGUUCCUAUUUUGUUCUUCACUGUGAUUAUUUUUGUCUUUAUGCGAGAAGUGUUUUAAUUUAAAGCACACACAGGAAACAUUAAGAAGGUCAUGUACCAUGUGGUCGACCUUGCUGACGCUGAAGAGGUUUCUGUGUAAAAAUGAUGACAUUGAGACAAACAGACCAGUUCUGGCUGCCGUGGAGGUCAACACACCACUGAUCUACUGGCUGCCCUUCAACGUGAUGCCCAGCCGAUGCCUGACCACCGACGGAACUAGGGCUGCACGAUAAGUCGCAUGUGUUUGUCAGGCGCAUCUCCUCAGUAAUGCCGGUUCCUUGAUUAGUAUUAAAUCGCCAUCAGCUGUUUUCAGAUGUAGCAGCUUUAACUACACAGAGCCGUAGUUCACUGACAAUCGGGGCAAUUUCGCAUUAAUUAUCGCGGACGUAUCGGCUGCGAUAUGUAUGCGAUAUGGCCCAGCUUGUCAGGGAACUACGGCUCUGUAGUUAAAGCUGCUCCAUCU
Molecule: non-coding RNA, 1543 nt
Organism: Paramisgurnus dabryanus
Lineage: Eukaryota; Metazoa; Chordata; Actinopteri; Cypriniformes; Cobitidae
Source: RefSeq, a predicted model, not a curated record